RNAcentral lists this ribosomal RNA (141 nucleotides) under uncultured eukaryote. RNAcentral describes it as "partial 16S ribosomal RNA". It matches the Rfam family "Eukaryotic small subunit ribosomal RNA", at positions 441 to 581 of the family's 1831-position model. The record is from RNAcentral.
UUACCCAAUCCUAAUUCAGGGAGGUAGUGACAAUAAAUAACGAUACAGGGCCCAUUCGGGUCUUGUAAUUGGNAUGAGUACAAUGNAAAUACCUUAACGAGGAACAAUUGGAGGGCAAGUCUGGUGCCAGCAGCCGCGGUA